Long non-coding RNA from Cercocebus atys (sooty mangabey), 5935 nucleotides. RefSeq lists it as uncharacterized. The transcript is spliced from 4 exons. NCBI's taxonomy places the organism in Eukaryota, Metazoa, Chordata, Mammalia, Primates, Cercopithecidae. The record is from RefSeq and is a predicted model, not a curated record.
CCGGCCAUGGCUUCAGCUCUAUUAACCAGAGAUCUUGGCACGACCCAGCAUCUCCCUAAACCUCCAUGUCCUCAUCUGCACCUCCCAGGGUGAGAGGAUCAAGUACAUUAAUUCAUGGGAAGCACUUAGCCUUUUCUGGCACAGGUUAGUCCUCAAUGUUACUGUAUCCACAGAGCAAUGGUAUUAGGACUCACUUAACAUUUUUUUUUUAACGGCAGCUCACAUCUUAAAUUACUGUUUUAAAAGGAAGCUUCAUGUUACUAUUGUAAAUGGAAAGCCAGCACUACUUGCCGUUCACAGUAGGUAUUCGUACACAUGAAUCCAGGACAGAAAAACGAAUGAUAUUCCAUUUUAGCUAGUCACUGCUGUUGUCCAAGCCCUUAGCCUGAUGCCUGCUUUCUUUGUUAAAAUAAAAGUCAGUUUAUGAAGAUUGGGAGUGGUACUGAAGCCUCACUGGCCCCUCACUGAGACAUUCUCCUCGAUGGAUUCAGAGGACGGAAGAGAAACGAAAGAAGAAUGACUUCCUCACCGUAUGAUUCGGUGCUGUGUUUGUAAAUUGUUUAUAAUCGUCGUGUGCACCACCCCAAAUCAUUUCACACCCUGGCAGGGACCCCACCGCCUUGGUGUGCAGACCCGAAAGGCUGUGGAAGUUGUCUCGUGGCGCCAUCUGGUGGAAUUUCCGGACAGGAGCAGGAACUCCCUCUGGCAAAUAACACUACAAAUGGAUUCAUCUGCCCUCCUGCUGCCGCUUUGAGCCCAACGAAUCCUGAGAAAUCACUUUCUUCUGAUGAAGUGGCUAAAAUCUGGACGCUGUCAGCAAGAGAACAUACAAGCCAACCACAAGCGCCUGUGACAGGGUGUUCCUCUUCCUCUGAUAGUGGUUCUCAACCCAGCCACACCACCAGUUCAUCUGGGCAGCUUUAAAACAUGCAGCCUGGGUUCCAGUUCCAGAGCCAUGAGCCAGCCUUCCUCCAGCAGGAAGAAGAAAGAGGCAAAGACAAAUCAUCCCUGACCACCCAGACGAGGUCAGCUUCCUAUUCAUAUGCUCUCUUGGCACCUUUGCUUCCCCAUCACAAUGCAGAGAAACUCAUUCUUUGUGUCCUUGUUUGAUGUUUAUUCACCACUCUCCCUUGCCUCCCACCAGGUUAGAAGCUCCAAGAAAUCUGGCAUCGUGUCUCUCUUCUUUGCUGUUCUAGUCCUGCGGUCCACCGCAGUGCUUGGCAUGUAGUAGGUGCUCAAUAAGUAGUUAUUGAUGGAAGGAACACUCAAGAUUGCACUUUAAACAUGCUCUUAAUAUUGGGAUGAGUCAGAGUUGGCCUGGCCCAAAUCUGGAAUCUUCUGAAUUGAGUCUAUGAUGAUGAGUGCUGCUAAGGGUUGUACAUACAUGACCUUGCUUAAUCCUCAGCAGAACCCUGAGGGGAAGAUUCUGCCAUUUUCUUCAACUAGCAAAUGAGAAGAUGUCAUGAGGUUAUGGAACACUAAACAGGAAAGCUGUGAUUUGAACUUGGCUCUCCAACUCAGAACCUCUAUUUACUUACCUAGUGACUGUCCAGGACACCAGGGUGACCACAGUCCCCUCCAGGCCCCCCUCCUGCAGCCCUAGCUAGCUCCCUUGAUUGCCAGCAGGCAGCUCAGUAGCCGUGUGUUCAUUCACAGUGCUGAGGAAGCAUCAUACACUUGGCCCCUUGUCCUGAAGUGGGGCUCCACCUGCAGAAAAUGGAGGAAGGGCAGGAGGUGCCAGCAUCAACUGGGAGAAUGCCAGUUCUCCAGCACUCCUCCUCCUCUAGCAGAUUGCUAGGAGCCUUGUGGUACAGGGGUUCUUUCAGACUACAGAUGAGGGCAGGUGGGGCUGCCGUGCUCUCGGAGGAGGGUUGGAGCAUGCCUUGCAGUGGGUGCUGUGUGUGCUGUGGUUUCCAUUUCUGCCCGCUUCUUGGCGGGCCCACCUGAUAAGGGGAAGGUGAUGGGAAACUGAUACCUGUCUGUGCUGGGCCCCCUUGAACCAUGUGGGGCUUAUAGAGACCCUGGGCCAUGGAGAAGUUCUGAGGGCCACUGGAGGAGGGGUCCUAGCUUCUCCCCUCAGACUCCACAGAAUACCCCAGGUAGUGACUAGAUUCUGGCUGGAGUCAAGGCGCUCAGAGCUUUGCUGGGCAAUUUGGUCUAAGCCUCUGUUGCACAGAUUUGGACACUGAAGGCCAGUGAGGCAACGGGCUUGCCAAGAUCACACAGCCCGUCAGUGUCAGAGCUGGCGCUGGCUCUCUAAACUGGAUGCGCUCUGUGGCUCCUUUGACUGAACAGUUCAUCCGGCCCACAGGCUAUUGGAGGGGCAUUUGGUGGAGGGUCCUAGUUUGACACCUGGCUUGAAGAGCAGGUUCCUGGCUCUGUUGUGGAGGUCCUGCUGGGACCAGCCAGUUCUGAUCAUGGCUGCCAGAAGGUGGCGCUAGGUACCCAGUUGCCACUUAAGUUCAAGGAAAAGAGAAUGGCAACCCCGGGUCUGGGUAUAAUUAGGGGAAGAGGCCGGUUUUGGAGCUCAGCUUCCAAUCACCCUCCCGCCCUGGCACUCUUAUGUGUGGGUACCCAGGGGCAGGGGAGCAACUGGAGACUGCACAUUGGGUUCCUCUGGUCUCAGAUCCUUUGGAAGGUUGCAGUGUGGGCAGUGAAUGGGCGCCCAGAUGUGCUCCAUUUACUCAUCUUGACUAGAUGAUAACCAGAGAUGGAAUAAAAGCAGCCAGGAUGGGUGGGUGCCUAUCUCCAACAGCGAGACUCAGCCUGGGCCCCAGCUCAGGCCUUUCCACCUGGCUCAGCUCCCAGGUGCACCCCCUUGCAUGGCACAGAGCACUUCGUCCCCACAGGGCCCGUCCCCUGCUGGGGAAGGGCCAGAGAGCUCAGGGUGCCCCUGAGAGAGGCUGUCUCAUUCUUGGUAACUUCCCCUCCUCCCUUCACCUUUCCUGCUCUCUCUCCAUCUCUCCUUCCUGUCCUCUCACCUUGCUCAUCUCUCCUGCCCCUUUUUCCUCAUGCUCACCUCGUCCCAGUUCCCCCAGGGACCCUGCAGGUCUAGUCCCCACCCCCAACACCUCAUCUGCAGAGGCAAACAGGGACCAAUAUCAGUGAGUUUCUAGGAUGUGGUUUCCAUGGUGAUGGUACAUCUCCUGCCUCCUUGGUGCUCAGCCCUGGACAGGUUGCCGUGGAGACUCUCACCUCAUUGAGGAGUGAUUUGUGGGACUGUUUUUCUUCUUUACUUCAUCUUCUUCUGUCCAGAAAUUCUGCCAGCCCAGAUAGCAUUUUCCCCACUCCUGGCAAACCUGGGAGCCUUCUCCAAAGGGCUUCCCACCCAGGGUCACUGAGGCCUGGAAAGCAUUUUAUUUAUAUGAGGUAUUCCUGGUAACCUUCUCCACCUUUCAUAGGGUGCGUGAGCGGUCACCACAGAGAAACAGGCCAAAGCUGACCCGAUGCCCACCUUUUCUGCCCACAGUGUCCUUCCAGGCCCCUGACCUGUUCCAUGCAGUCAAUGCACGCCAACCCUGAGAGCUUCUGCUCGGUGGCCAUUUUCCUUAAGUGUCUUUGGAGAAACUGUGACAGUGAGAGGGUGAGGUGGGAAUAAUGAGCACAGUGAAUCCAGGCAAAAGAGGUAGGUUAGAAGGGGGAGAAGUACCGGAAAGGGAGGAAUGAGAGGUGGGCAGACUGGGGGAGCUCGAAGGGAGAGGGAGAGGUGGAGGGUGAAAGUUGGUCACCAGAGAAAGCCAACCCGUGAGUCCGCAGCAGGAGUAUUCCUCUGGUGUUAACGCCCUUUAUAAAUCACUCCGGAGCUCCAAACCCAAAACAGGCCUCUUCUUUCUCUGCCAAGUAGAAAAUGUGUUCGCCGACAUAAAAACAUAUUAAGUACAUUGUGGCCCUCAUUCCCCCCAAGUUGAAAGCCAUUACAAUAAUUAAUUAAGGCAGGAGAUUAAUUAAAGAGUCGUUUCCCCCCAUUCUCUCCGAAUAGAUCAAUCAGGAGGCAGGAGAACAUGUGCUACUCGGCAGACAGAGAAGGGGGGCCAGAGGGGAGGCCGAGGGGCAGCAAGGCAGUUACAGACACAGCCAGAGACAAAGGACUUCCGUGCUGGGGGCUGGGGGCCCGGGGCUGAGAGGAGCUGGCAAGGAGGCCCCCAGGAGGGAGAGCUUGCUCUGCUUCCAAGGACCUGUGAUCUGACUUUCCUUCUUGGUGUUCACAGCCUGAGGGUCACUGUCACCAUGGAAACAGGCCUGGGGGCAGGAGGAAUAUCAGCCCUCUGCUCCUGGAUUCCUGGAUUCCCCUCUGGGAGUGAGAGUUCCCAGUGAGCAGAGUUAAGGCCCCAGGAGGCGUUUCUGUGGAGUGGCAUGAGGGGUGGUGGCCUCCCCACUCCAGUGCCAAGCCCAAAACCAACUCCACACGAGCAUUGUCAGGCUGAUGACAAGCCUGAAAGAUUUGUUCCUCACAUGUGCCACACUGCAGACAGGACAGGCUAGUAUUAGCUCAGGCUGAGAAUCAUUAGUCUUUUAGGUAACUUUUCUCAUUUUGCUAAAUUUUGAGUUCUUAAUGAUUGCUUUCUCCCUUUCUCUCUCCCUCUCUUUCACUCUCUUUCUUAUGCCUUUGGGCUGAUCUUUUUUCUAGCUGAAUUUCAUAUUUCUAAGAAAUGUUUAUAUCAUGUAGUGUGUUUCAUGUGUGCAUAGUGGGUUUAACCCAUUCCACCCUGUGUCUCUGUCUUGCUUACUUUUGAGCCUUCCAGAACUUUCCGAUUGUUCAAAAGCACCGCUCUUGUGUUUCUGUAUUUUUUAUGAUCUUUUUCAUAUUUCUAAUAAACAUUAGAAAGGGGUGGUGCUCCAUAGAUGAUUCCCCAUGAGAUCCCUGGUAUCGUUUCCUCCUUUCUGUUGUUUUAUUUUGGGUUUUUGUAUCUUUGUGCAUGUGUGGACUUAGCAGGCGGUUAGCUCUUCUGUUGAGAGGAGAUGGUUCAGCAGAGUUGGGUGAUGAGGGAGCAGCUCAUCCAGCAUCUGCUCUGCCACUUACAAAGUGUAACUCAGAAUCACAAAGCAGCACACCUUUUACUCACUCUGUCAUUAUGAAUGGGGGCUUAGUAGGCACCAGGCUUUGGAAACGCUUGGUGGACAAGACAGGUGUGGUCCCUGCCUUCUGGGGGAUGACAGUCUGGUGGGAGAGAUAGACAUCAAACAAUAAAUACACAAGAAUAUAGCUACAAAUUGUGAAAAAUACCACGCAGGCAAAACCUAGGUUCUUUGAUAGAGAAUAGCACAUGCCUACUUUAGGCUGGGGGUCAGGAGGAGGUGACAUUUACACUGCAGCAGAAGCCAGCCAGACAAAGUGAGCAGUGAAGAGUGACGGUCCCCAGCAGGAGUGGAGCCAUCAGAAGCUGAUGAAGCUUCAGCCUCGGGGCCCUUCAGUGCACUAGAGCCUCACAAGCCUUUGGGGGUGGCCCUAGCAAUAAUGGGUCCACAUGGUCAUAUGUUUUUGUAAAAAUUGCAAAAAGUUCUUUAACUGAAAUCAGUUAAGAGCACUGACAAGUGGCUGGGUAGGGAACCACUGGGACCUGGCUGAGGAAAUGCUGAGCUGGGGAGUCUAUCUGGGUUUAGGGAGAUGUAUUUACAUGCUUGUGGCACUUCCAUGUAUGGUCAAGGUCAAGGUCAAGGCCAUCGUGGGGUGGGAAUGGCUCCCAGGCACAUUCUUCCUGCCCACUGUGCUGGGCAAGAAGGUGCAGUAUUUGGGGUUGACCGGAGCAGGCCCUUUUGCUGGCGGGGAGUGUGGCAGGUGGGACAUGGAGCAGCAUGUGGCUGGGAAGGUGCAGAGGCAGCUUCAGGGUCUGGCAUAUUGUUUUGAAUUUAGUGAAGUUUGUGGAAUUUGUCAGCUUUUUAAAACUUGUAAUUUGUUUGGACUUUUCUCAUUCUAAACAAGUUUUCACUUGUAUGC